CUUAAGGCAGCCAAACAUCCAGAACUGAUCCUUCUCAUAAGAUAACACAAAAAUUUCACUUAAAUUUAGUUAAAUGUAGGGUGACCAGUUGAGGAAAAGGACAAUGAAGGGUUUUCAUCCAAUUAGCCAUUAGUCCUACUGACAUAAGUUUUCAUCUUCUGUUCCAUGUUAUCUUACUUUUUGUAUGAAUUGUCCCUUUGAAAUUCUGUGAAGGAACUGAAAGAAUCUCAGGGCAUCUGGAUCCAAGAGAGAAAAGUCAGGUGGCAAAGCCACCCAACAAGGAUAAUACAAAGGAAAUUGUCAAAAACUAUGAGGAUGCAAUUCCCAGAGGUAGCAUUGUCACACAGAAACCGGAAGAGACUUUUAAAUUUGAAAACAACAAUGAAAAU
Molecule: long non-coding RNA, 389 nt
Filed under: Capra hircus (goat)
Lineage: Eukaryota; Metazoa; Chordata; Mammalia; Artiodactyla; Bovidae
Description: lncRNA (ENSCHIG00010019233.1)
Source: RNAcentral